UGAGUACGAGAUGCUACGGCAUCGAAGCAGUCUAUGUCACACUUCCAAGAAAAGCUUGCACUGUCAUAAACAAAGAAUGCCUGUACCAUAACCGACACAGGUGGGUAGGUAGAGUAUACUAAGGGGCGCGAGAUAACUCUCUCUAAGGAACUCGGCAAAAUGACUCCGUAACUUCGGGAGAAGGAGUGCCUUAUUUCUAAGGUUGCAAUAACAAGAUCCAAGCAACUGUUUACCAAAACACAGGUCUCCGCUAAGUCGUAAGACGAUGUAUGGGGGCUGACGCCUGCCCAGUGCCAGAAGGUUAAAGAAGUUGGUUAGCAUUAGCGAAGCUGAUAACCGAAGCCCUGGUGAACGGCGGCCGUAACGAUAACGGUCCUAAGGUAGCGAAAUUCCUUGUCGGGUAAGUUCCGACCCGCACGAAAGGCGUAAUGAUUUGGAUACUGUCUCGGAGAGGGGCUCGGUGAAAUAGACUUGUCUGUGAAGAUGCGGACUACCUGCACCUGGACAGAAAGACCCUAUGAAGCUUUACUGUAACUUGAGAUUGAAACUGGACUUUAUUUGCGCAGUAUAGGUGGGAGGCGUUGAGAAUAAUCUUGCGGGAUUGUUGGAGCCAUCAGUGAGAUACCACUCUUGUAAUGUUAGAUUUCUAACUUUGUAUCAUUAUCUGGUCAAAGAACAGUUUCAGGCGGGCAGUUUGACUGGGGCGGUCGCCUCCCAAAGGGUAACGGAGGCGCACAAAGGUUUCCUCUGAACGGGUAGAAAUCGUAUCUAGAGUGUAAAGGCAUAAGGAAGCUUGACUGUGAGACCUACAAGUCGAGCAGGGACGAAAGUCGGUCUUAGUGAUCUGACGGUGCUGAGUGGAAAGGCCGUCACUCAACGGAUAAAAGUUACUCUAGGAUAACAGGCUGAUCUCCCCCAAGAGUUCACAUCGACGGGGAGGUUUGGCACCUCGAUGUCGGCUCAUCGCAUCCUGGGGCGGUAGUCCGUCCCAAGGGUUGGGCUGUUCGCCCAUGAAAGCGGUACGCGAGCUGGGUUCAGAACGUCGUGAGACAGUUCGGUCCAUAUCCGGUGUAGGCGUUAGAAUAUUGAGAGGAGCCUUCUCUAGUACGAGAGGACCGAGAAGGACAUACCUCUGGUGUACCAGUUAUCGUGCCAACGGUAAACGCUGGGUAGCUAUGUAUGGAGUGGAUAACCGCUGAAAGCAUCUAAGUGGGAAGCCCACCUCAAGAUAAG
This 1233-nucleotide ribosomal RNA is filed under the name metagenome. Its description in RNAcentral is "bacterial LSU rRNA". It matches the Rfam family "Bacterial large subunit ribosomal RNA", at positions 1564 to 2808 of the family's 2925-position model. The record is from RNAcentral.